UGCGUAGGUGGUGAGGUAAGUCGGAUGUGAAAGCUCGGAGCUCAACUCCGAAAUGGCAUUGGAAACUACCUUGCUCGAGGGUUGGAGGGGGGACUGGAAUGCUUGGUGUAGCAGUGAAAUGCGUGGAUAUCAAGCGGAACACCAGUGGCGAAGGCGAGUCCCUGGACAACUCCUGACACUGAGGCACGAAAGCUAGGGGAGCAAACA
Molecule: ribosomal RNA, 207 nt
Filed under: uncultured bacterium
Lineage: Bacteria
Description: partial 16S ribosomal RNA
Rfam family: Bacterial small subunit ribosomal RNA
Source: RNAcentral